RNAcentral lists this ribosomal RNA (497 nucleotides) under uncultured bacterium. Its description in RNAcentral is "partial 16S ribosomal RNA". It matches the Rfam family "Bacterial small subunit ribosomal RNA", at positions 28 to 507 of the family's 1533-position model. The record is from RNAcentral.
GAUGAACGCUGGCGGCGUGCCUAAUACAUGCAAGUCGAGCGAACAGACGAGGAGCUUGCUCCUCUGACGUUAGCGGCGGACGGGUGAGUAACACGUGGAUAACCUACCUGUAAGACUGGGAUAACUUCGGGAAACCGGAGCUAAUACCGGAUAAUAUAUUGAACCGCAUGGUUCAAUAGUGAAAGACGGUGUUUCUGUCACUUAUAGAUGGAUCCGCGCCGCAUUAGCUAGUUGGUAAGGUAACGGCUUACCAAGGCAACGAGGCGUAGCCGAUUUGAGAGGGUGAUAGGCCACCCUGGAAGUGAGACACCCACCAGACUCCUACGGGAGGAAGCAGUAGGGAAUCUUCCGCAAUGGGCGAAAGCCUGACGGAGCAACGCCGCGUGAGGGAUGAAGGCCUUCGGAUCGUAAAACUCUGUUAUUAGGGAAGAACAAAUGUGUAAGUAAAUAUGCACGUCUUGACGGUACCUAAUCAGAAAGCCACGGCUAACUACGUG